UGACAAGAUCCAACCUGCUGAUCUUCUGGAGAAAUGGUUGAAUUGGGUGCAGGAAAUUCCCACUUUACAACAUCUCAAGCUGCCUCGUCCCUAUGCACCAGCCACCGCCGAUAUUGCCAGUGCAACCCGUCACAUCCACAUUUUCUGUGAUGCCUCGGAGCGCGCCUAUGGGUCAGUAGCUUACAUGCAGACGACAGAUGACAGUCAACGAGUCUAUGUCUCCUUCGUGUUUGCCAGAUCGAGAGUCGCGCCCCGUAAGCAGAUGUCUAUUCCGCGUCUCGAGCUCAGUGCCGCGCUUACAGGUGCACAGCUGGCUAGAGUGAUCGAGACAGAGCUUGCAGUACCACCUGAGCACAUCACUCUUUGGUCAGACUCCACAACUGUACUGCAUUGGAUCAAAUCAGAAUCCUGCCGUUACAAAGUGUUCGUUGGAACACGCGUCGCAGAAAUCCAGAACCUGACCAAUCCUGUUCAAUGGCGGUAUGUUGAUACUCUAAGCAAUCCAGCUGAUGAUAUAACCCGGGGACUCACUCUGCAAGAAAUGGUACAGGAUCAUCGCUGGAACAAAGGUCCACAUUUCCUCCAUUUGUCUGAGAGGGAGUGGCCCAACAUGCCUUCAUCUGAGGUAGAACCAGACACCACAGAGUUAAGGAAGUCUGCCUUCAUGGGAACUAUGGCCAGCAUCUUGCCAACACAACUUCCGGACCCCAGUAAGUUCUCCAACUGGAAAGAGCUUCUUAAGGAAACUGCUAGCUCCAUUCACGGGGCGGCUGAUGCUAAUACUACAGUACACUUUCCCGCUGCCGAAUUUCUGCAAGCAGAGAAACUGAUGCUACAAAGGGCUCAAGAGGACUGCUUUGCUGAAGAAUUGAGAGCUCUCAAAGCUGGACGUACUCUUCCUUCAGACAGUCGUCUCGCAUCUCUGUCACCAGAAUAUGAAGGAGCCACGGAGCUACUCAGAGUCGGUGGCAGGUUAAGGCAUGCUGAAGGACUAGACCUGGAUACUAUCCAUCCAGUUAUCCUGGACCCAAGCCAUCCCGUGACAAAACUUAUCGUCAAGGAUUUUGAUGAGUCACUACUGCACCCUGGGCCAGAACGAGUUCUUGCUGAGAUCAGACGCAGGUUUUGGAUUAUCCGUGGUAGAGAGGCAAUUCGAAAGCAUCAACAUUCAUGUCUGGAGUGCCGGAGAUGGAGAGCAAAACCCGAUGUACCGAAGAUGGCAGAUUACCCACCAGCUCGGCUACGACUCACUAAGCCACCGUUCUAUUCAACCGGAGUUGAUUGCUUUGGACCUUUCCAAGUGAGGAUCGGUCGCCGAACUGAAAAAAGGUGGGGCAUUGUCUACAAAUGCAUGACAACUCGCUCGGUGCAUCUGGAUCUAUUAGAAAGCCUUGAUACCGAUGCUUUCCUGCUGUCACUGAGAAGAUUCAUCUCUCGACGUGGCAGACCGUUCGAACUCCUCAUGGACAAUGGUACCAACUUUGUCGGUGGAGAGAGAGAGCUACGUGAAGCCGUUGCUGCCAUGGCACCUCAGUGGAGAGAGCAACUUGCUGAACAGCAGAUAUCCUUCCGAUUCAAUCCUCCAAGUGCGCCGCACUUUGGAGGCACGUGGGAGAGGGAAGUGAAAUCCAUCAAGACUGCACUUCGCGUUGUCCUUAAAGACCAGACUGUUGCUGAACCAGUCCUGAUGACAAUCCUAGUGGAGGUCGAGGGCAUAAUGAAUGCGAAACCCUUAGGCUACUUGUCAUCAGAUGCCUCUGAUCCAGACCCGGUCACGCCUAACCUCCUCCUCAUGGGCCGUCAUGACUCGUCACUUCCUCAAGCAGUUUACAAUCCCAGUGACCUCGGGAGAAGACGUUGGAGGCAUAGCCAAGCCAUCGCCGAUCGCUUCUGGUCAUCCUUCAUCAGUCACUACCUACCAGGGCUACAAGAGCGCAGUAAGUGGAGGAAAGACGGUAAGGCACUCUCCAUAGGCGAUGUUGUUUUAAUCGUGGAUUCCCAACUCCCCCGAGCGUCAUGGCCCGUAGGACGGAUUACCCAGACUCAUCCAGGAGCAGAUGGAUGCGUACGGACUAUCAGUGUUCAAGUGAAGGACCGCACCUACAUUCGUCCAGUCGCCCGGCUCAUCCUGCUCCCAGCUCUGGAGGACAAGGACGAAGAAGAGACCACCAAAUAGACUUUCUCCUACUCUUUCAACUGCCAUGCGGACAGUUGGGGGCGGCCUUGUCUGAAAGCCUAUUUGUUCAGCGCUGAAGUUUUCUAAGCGCGUGAACGCUCCAUCACGUGAACUGUGCCUGGACAGGAAAAUGCAGCGUGCUGCUCAGUUGUUCGCGCUCAGGGAUGACGAGAGAAGACUCAGAGACCCUUUUCUUUACUUUCGUGUGCGUUUAUGAAAAGCAAACCACAUACACACUUAUACGAACUUGUAUACUGGCAUCCUGAUCUUGAAAAUAAAGCUGAUAAAGGAUUCUCUGGCCGGAAUCUUUCUGUAGUGCUCCCAUCCUAAAACGAACCCCUAGUCCAUACUUUACAGAGGG
Cyprinus carpio carpio is the source of this 2537-nucleotide long non-coding RNA. The record is from Ensembl. Lineage: Eukaryota; Metazoa; Chordata; Actinopteri; Cypriniformes; Cyprinidae.